AUGACGCAGAAGAUCGUGAUCGCGGUGCAGAUGGCGAGCAGCAGGUGCCGGUCCAAGGCGCUGGCGCUGGUGGCGGCCACGCCGGGAGUGGACUCGGUGGCGCUCGCCGGGGACGGCAAGGACCAGGUGGUGGUCGUCGGCCACGGCGUCGACUCCGUCAAACUCGCCAGCGCGCUGCGCAGGAAGGUCGGCCACGCGCAGCUGCUGCAGGUUGGCGACGCCAAGAAGGAGGACGGGACGAAGCCGCCGGCCGCCGUGGUCGAAUACUACCCGUACGGCUACUACUACCCGUCGCAACCGGCGCCGGUCAACUUCUUCUACGAGCAGCAGCACUACCCUGCUGUUGCUGCCGUGGAGGCGUACGGGUACCCAUGCUCGCGGCCGGAGCCGGGCACCUGCUCAGUAAUGUAG
Molecule: ribosomal RNA, 411 nt
Filed under: Triticum aestivum (bread wheat)
Lineage: Eukaryota; Viridiplantae; Streptophyta; Magnoliopsida; Poales; Poaceae
Description: partial small subunit ribosomal RNA
Source: RNAcentral